Macaca fascicularis (crab-eating macaque) is the source of this 2516-nucleotide long non-coding RNA. The record is from Ensembl. NCBI's taxonomy places the organism in Eukaryota, Metazoa, Chordata, Mammalia, Primates, Cercopithecidae.
UGGGAGAGCGAGUGCGGCGAAGGCGAGAGGCGAGCCGAGCAGGCCGCCCAGCCCGCGGCCCGAGCGCCGGCGCGAGGAGGGGCGCCGCGGCCCACCCUCCUUCCUGCCUGGCCGCGGGCCGGCGGGCCGCCGCGCCCGACCCCAUGGCCACCCAGGCCUCCGGGCCGCGAAGUCGCAGCGCCAGACCCAGGGCCCCGAGUGAGCGCGGGCACCGAGGAUCUCAUCUGGUCACCGCGUUCUGGAAGAGGCGAGAGGGAGAGCGUGAGCGAGAGGAGGAGAGAGACGGCGGGGGAAAGGGAGACGGCGAGACGCGCAGCGCCGGCGCCCGGGAGACCCAGGAGGAGCCCGCAGGUCCCAACUGAGCCUGUUCUCACGCCAGGAGCUCCUGGCGCACUCCUCUCAUCACCUGCCGGAGCUGGGCUCUGUUAUCAUCCCCAUUUGACAGAAGAGCACACCAAGGCCCAGAGGCUACUGCUGCCUGGCGGCCAGCCUUCUCCUCGCCAGUUAACCCUGCUUCGUGCAGUCCUGCUGCCCAGCUGUUGCUCCUGCCUGUCCCCUUGGCCCUGCCUGGAAGACCCUCACUCUCCCAUGCCCUGUGCAGAGCCUGCUGCCUCCUCUGCCAUCUCUUCCACAGAGAGGCCAGGGCUUGAGCACACAGGCCAGAGGUUGUCCUCUGGCAAUGCCCCCAGGUGGGCGCUGUUUGGCCAACCCAGGGUUUUAACAAUAACAUUGGAUUUCACAUACAAAUUCUACAUUUUGCUUCCCUGAAAAAAAAAAUCAGGUCGGCAUUGCAGGGCCACACACCCACAGGGCACUAUCGGCAGAGCUGCCACGGGGCUGCCACCUUCUGAGUCACCUGGUUCCUUGCAGUGCCCACUCAUGUGCCAGCUGGGCCCUGGCACUCUGGAGCUUGCCACACUGCUUAGUCCUGGGUUCCUGCCCUGGCAUCCUGGCUUUCCCUGAUCUGAGGCAGAUUAUGUCUUUGAAGCUCAUCUAGUAAAUGUCAAAACUGAGAAACUGAUUCCAAACUGGGUCUUGGUGUUUUCUGAGAAUACUCCAGGCCAGAAAGAAAAAGAAAGGGUGCACCAGGUGCGGGGCACUGCGUGGGGAAAGAUAAGGAGGUGUGAAGGGACGCAGAACGCUUGGGGAAUAAUACCGUGUUCUCCUUGCCUGUUAAGUACUUGGUUGGCAAAGCCUGAAUACUAACACCAAUCAGAUUCUGCUUGUUCUAUAAGAUGAUUCAUUCAUUCCAGGCAUUCAGAUGACCCUCACAGCAUCCCUGAUAGAGCACCAUUGUGGGUGCUUUUAUUCUCAUUUUCAGCAGAUGAGAACACUGGAUCUCGGGGAAGUGACAUGGCAUGCCCCAGGUCCCAGUAAGGGCAGGACCCUGACAAGAACUCCGACUCCUGACUCCCAGUCCAGUGCUCGUUCUCUCUAAGACACUGAAAAAAUUGGCUCUUCGGUGGGCUUCUUUCUCUGGUGCGUUUUUUAAAAUGCUCCUUUAGUUAACAUGCGGGAGGGAUUUCCAUGUUCUCGUAUAUAACCUUUUGCUGAAGUGACAAUGUGCGAUAAAAGGGUCCCAGGAGAGCCGGUGUAAUUUGGGCUGUGAGGGACAGAGAAUACCAAUGCAGAAGCCUCUGCAGAAGGCCUGGCUGCUCCUGGGGGCUGGGGGACCCGGGGCCCCCUCACCACCCAAUGCAAAGGUCUGGCCAUCUUGGGCCCUGUGACCACGUGUACGUUCUGAUUUGUCUUCCACUGCUGGGGUUUAUUUUUCUCACAUUUUUGGGUGAGGAUCUUGGUUCCUAGAGGAGAGAGGUCUAGGCAGAGAGAAAAUGAGCAUCUGGGACACAGGGAGGGAUUGAGGAGGAUGCGUGAGGACAGACAUUGAAGCCUUGUUUCUAGUCAAGCGCUGGCUAGUUGGGGGGUGUCACACAAAGGAGUCCACAUAGAAGGCAAACUGAAGGGCAUGUUCAAGUGCUGUUCACGCCUGCCUUUAGCCCCCAAGGACCAAAAAAGGGGCUUGACAUAGCGAGACCCUCUCUCUACAAUUUUUUUUUUUAAUUUAGCCAGGCAUGGUGGUGAGUACCUGUAGUCCCAGCUACUCCAGAAGCUGAGGUGGGAGGAUCACCUGAGCCUGGGAGGUCAAGGCUGCCGUGAGCCAAGAUUGUUCCACUGCACUCCAGCCUGGGUGACAGAGCGAGACCUUGUCUCAAAACAAUAAAAAGUUGGGGGGAUGUUAAGGAGGUUCCAGUUAAUUGUGGCUGAUUCUAAACUGGGAGGCUUAAUAAAUGGUAAUUAUCCUCCUGUGGGAGCAGACCAGAGCUAACCAAGCCCACCGGGAAUGGGGUUCAUGGAGACAGACCCCGUUUUCCCUCCCACCCACCUGAAGGCUCCAAGAAUUUCCACUGCAGAGGUGUCAGGGACAGACCUGGUGCAGACCAGUGGGCCCAUCACCUGCUUCCUUAUGUGCAGUUCAGCGUGUUUAGGUGUAUUACAUGCCUGCCUGCGUGUCUGCG